Molecule: long non-coding RNA, 2122 nt
Organism: Salvelinus fontinalis (brook trout)
Lineage: Eukaryota; Metazoa; Chordata; Actinopteri; Salmoniformes; Salmonidae
Exons: 2
Source: RefSeq, a predicted model, not a curated record
ACUGUGACUGACCCAAACUUAAGGAAAGCUUUGACUAUGUACAGACUCAGUGAGCAUAAAUGUCAAAUGUGUGAUUUCAUGAACUGGUACAUACAAGAAAACCAGGUUUUAAAGUUCUGUUCAAUAGCCAUCCCAUCAUUACAAAACAUUUGAAAGGCUAAGUCUAUCAUCUCCUGAGAAGUGGUAACUAUUCACAUGAACUUUUCAAAGAGGUUUGGUGCCCCCUGGUGGCUGAACCCGAGAUCAAUGAGAGAUCUUGUCAGAAACAAUGACAGAGUCCCACUUCUCAGCUAUCUUUAUUUACAUCAAACUAAACUAACUGCUAUCUUGAAAUGUUGAAAACGUGUUUUUAAAUAGCUCAGGCUGAUGCCCUACCUGAGCGACAAGGUGAGUCUUUUCUCCCUGACCUGGUGGUUCUAAUGACCUGGUGGUUCUAAUGACCUGGUGGUUCUAAUGACCUGGUGGUUCUAAUGACCUGGUGGUUCUAAUGACCUGGUGAUUAUAAUGACCUGGUGGUUCUAAUGACCUGGUGGUUCUAAUGACCUGGUGGUUCUAAUGACCUGGUGGUUCUAAUGACCUGGUGGUUCUAAUGACCUGGUUGUUCUAAUGACCUGGUGGUAAUAAUGACCUGGUGGUUGGCAUAACAAAAGCAGAACCCGAGAACAGGAUGGCCUCCACCACACAGCCUGAUGACACUGCACCAGCCUACCAGUCUGCUCCAGCCCAGGUCAGAAUACCAGUCUCCCAGUCUGCUCCAGCCCAGGUCAGAAUACCAGUCUGCUCCAACACAGUGUGCUCCAGCCCAGGUCAGAAUACCAGUCUCCCAGUCUGCUCCAACACAGUGUGCUCCAGCCCAGGUCAGAAUACCAGUCUCCCAGUCUGCUCCAGCCCAGGUCAGAAUACCAGUCUCCCAGUCUGCUCCAGCACAGGUCAGAAUACCAGUCUCCCAGUCUGCUCCAGCACAGUCUGCUCCAGCCCGGGUCAGAAUACCAGCCUCCCAGUCUGCUCCAGCCCAGGUCAGAAUACCAGUCUCCCAUUCUGCUCCAGCCUACCAGUCUGCUCCAGCCCAGGUCAGAAUACCAGCCUCCCAGUCUGCUCCAGCACAGUGUGCUCCCUGGCAACACCAUAGACUACACUAUGCACAACCAAAGGCUCUUUUAAGAGCCAUUCACAUUGCAAUAAGAGUAUUCUUCCAUUUACUUAGCUAUGUCAACUGCAGUUAUUCAAUUCACAGUGUCUCUCCCUUUGAUUUCUACUUCUCAGAUGAGGGUGCUGUUUAGGUAAGGGUGUGAUGUCUGUGCAAAAACAAAACAGGCUAUUUUAAAUCACCCAUAUUGAAAAAAUGUAGAACAAUUAGACACUCUAUAACCCACACCUACACACUCAUGUAUCAAUCUGAUUGAUGGAUUGUGUUGUGCAGUAAACAGGCUCUGGUGUAAAACUGUGACUCCUUCCACCUUCAAAAAAUAGGCAAGAGGGCCAACCAUGGAGAAUAGUAAGACACUUCAUUAUUUCUAUAACUACGCUAUAUUGUUUGUCCUUGUGGGUCCGUUCAUGUUUUUCAGCAUAAAGUACUCUGCAGCCACUUAGUGUGGUGUGGACACCAGGUGAGGCCACACACAGAUUCCUGUUGAACACUGUCGCUUUAACUACCUUAUUUUCUCAAUAAGUCUCUAUCCUUCACUUCAUCCCUCUCUCCCCUUCUCCCUAAAUCCUCUAGGUUAUAUCAGCUGUGUCGGUGAACCCCUCCUGCAUCUGAACUGGCUACAUAGAGGGCACAGCAUGAUCAGAGAUAUGUUUUGAUGUGAGAGGAUGCCAACCCCUAGUCCCAUCAUCGCCACCUCAGCUGCUUUUAAGAUAACCUUUAGGCCGACGAGAAACACUUAUGUAAUUGUGAUGAACUGAGAGAAUAUUUAUGUAGCACUGUGAUUCAUUAAUCAUGUGCUGCCUUCCCUGCUCCUAUGUGCUUACCUCUUUCCCUUUCUGUCUUUUACACCUCUCUCUCCACCUCCUCUUUCUUCCUCUGUUUUUAUAAUUCACAACAGAUGUGCAUUGAAGUACAGAUUGAACUUGUAUUUAUAACACUUGGACAAUGAGCUUUUCAAUAAAGCGUUUCACAUUC